RNAcentral lists this long non-coding RNA (471 nucleotides) under Homo sapiens (human). Its description in RNAcentral is "HSALNT0112503". Lineage: Eukaryota; Metazoa; Chordata; Mammalia; Primates; Hominidae. The record is from RNAcentral.
CUCCUGGUGUGCCAUUUGCUAAGACCGUUGGAAAAGCACAGUAUUUGGGCGGGAGUGUCUUGUUUUUCCAGGUACCGUCUGUCACGGCUUUCCUUGGCUAGGGAAGGGAAAUCCCCUGGCCUCUUGCGCUUCCUGGGUGAGGUGAUGCCCUGCCCUGCUUCAGCUCACCCUUCAUGGGCUGCACCUACUGUCCAACCAGUCCCAGUGAGAUGAACCAGGUUCCUCAGUUGGAAAUGCAGAAAUCACCCAUCUUCUGCGCCGAUCACACUGGGAGCUGCAGACUGGAGAUGUUCCUAUUUGGCCAUCUUGGAAUGGAAUCUCAGCUUCAUGUCUUUUUAAGGUGGAAGGGGAACUGGCAAAAUAAAUAGUUGUGGAUGGAAUAUUAUGCAACUUCAAAAGAAGAUGGGUAAUCUACAUACUGACAGAAUUUCCAAGAUAUGUCGUGAAAUGUAAAAAGCAGAGCAUAGAAUG